This 293-nucleotide ribosomal RNA is filed under the name uncultured bacterium. Its description in RNAcentral is "partial 16S ribosomal RNA". It matches the Rfam family "Bacterial small subunit ribosomal RNA", at positions 505 to 796 of the family's 1533-position model. The record is from RNAcentral.
GUGCCAGCAGCCGCGGUAAUACGUAGGACCCAAGCGUUAUCCGGAAUUACUGGGCGUAAAGAGUUGCGUAGGUGGCAAAGUAAGCGAAGUAUGAAAUCUUGUGGCUCAACCAUAAGCCUAUACUUUGAACUACUUAGCUAGAGCAUGAGAGAGGUAACUGGAAUUUCUAGUGUAGGAGUGAAAUCCGUAGAUAUUAGAAGGAACACCGAUGGCGUAGGCAGGUUACUGGCUCAUUGCUGACACUAAGGCACGAAAGCGUGGGGAGCGAACGGGAUUAGAUACCCGGGUAGUCC